Molecule: long non-coding RNA, 727 nt
Organism: Ictalurus punctatus (channel catfish)
Lineage: Eukaryota; Metazoa; Chordata; Actinopteri; Siluriformes; Ictaluridae
Exons: 2
Source: RefSeq, a predicted model, not a curated record
AGAGAGCUAAUCUGGCGCACGCAAAACCGUGCAACUGCACCAAGCUCGCCGUGUCGUUCAUAAACAACUUCCGUCAGCUUUCUCCUAACACAGAUGAGCAACAAAUAUCUGACUGGUCAGAACGGUGUUGAUUAACUUUCUAUAAGAAGAGCUCAGACAGAGAGUAUAUUAAUAUGUUAUGGUUUCCAUAGUAACAGCUCGUUCACAGGGACAUGUACGGCGGACGUGCCACGGAAACCCUGUGUAAUCUCUGAUACGAUGAUGCUUUCUGCGAGCUCCAGCGGUGUCCAGAUGUUAUGAAGUAUAUUGAGCCCUCACCAGACAGGCAGGCGGUGGAGUCCAUCCACUUGAGCAGCUGCCCGACGCUCAGCUCCUUGCGAUGGUUGGCGUGGCAAGGAAGUAUGAUCUGGCUCAUCUUCAUCUCCGUGGGGUUGCGAUACACUCGUCCGUCCUCCAUGACCAGGUCCGGCUCGUCCAGCUCCGCCAUCCUGUUGAUCUGAGUGUGGAAGAACAUGGUGCAUCAGCUGGGUGUUUGGAUGUUGUCUGUCAUGCACACUCUCCUGUGGAAGGGUUUUAUUACGGGUUCAAAGUGUUAUUUAGCUUUGGAAUGCGCACAUGGUGGGACUGAACCCAGGAAAGAACAGGAACGGCUGGAAAGAGUUUGGAAAGGAGGGUUUGAAAUGCACUUGUUCAUAGGUGCAUGUGGCAGCAUGUAGUGCUAUUUUGG